AGGGCUGUAGUUAAUAAUAACAUUUGAUUUGCAUUCAAAAAGUAUUGAAAUAAAUUCAAUCUGCCUUA
This 68-nucleotide transfer RNA is filed under the name Euphaea decorata. RNAcentral describes it as "tRNA-Ala". It matches the Rfam family "tRNA". From Rfam's summary of the family: Transfer RNA (tRNA) molecules are approximately 80 nucleotides in length. Their secondary structure includes four short double-helical elements and three loops (D, anti-codon, and T loops). Further hydrogen bonds mediate the characteristic L-shaped molecular structure. tRNAs have two regions of fundamental functional importance: the anti-codon, which is responsible for specific mRNA codon recognition, and the 3' end, to which the tRNAs corresponding amino acid is attached (by aminoacyl-tRNA synthetases). tRNAs cope with the degeneracy of the genetic code in two manners: having more than one tRNA (with a specific anti-codon) for a particular amino acid; and 'wobble' base-pairing, i.e. permitting non-standard base-pairing at the 3rd anti-codon position. The record is from RNAcentral. Lineage: Eukaryota; Metazoa; Arthropoda; Insecta; Odonata; Euphaeidae. RNAcentral also lists the same sequence under 1 other name.